GGAGAGAGUUGUGCCUACUUAGUUCUCUCCUAAAAGGACUGCAGCCUGGAUUUGUCUCUCCAUUGCCCACUUCCAUGUUUCCUCCCCCAGUUAUUUUGGAGGCCCCGGGGACCGAGUGGGUGACCCAGCUGAGACCGGAGUUCUGGCAGGGCCAGGGUGGGUGUUAUUCUCCAAAUAAUUCACCACUUGAGCACUUGCUCCAGACACUGGGUUCCCCAGGGACCUCUUGCUCUGUGACACGCGUGACAGCAUGGCCUCUUUGUCUUCCCAGGGCAUCAUCGAGCAGAAAGGGACAGGCAGAGGAGGGGACAAGAGAGAAGCUGGAAGCCCCAGAAGAGGAGAGAUGAGGACGCAUCACCAGUCUGAGACUGAGGCCUGAAGCUCUGUGGAGAGUUGCUGGUUGAGUCCACACUGAGAGGCUGAAGGAGCUGGAGUGUGACAUCCACGCACAAUGACAGUAAUCUACCUCCUAGAAAGCUCUUGGAAGGAACAGGAGACAUGUAACUAGAAUUCUGAAAUCUCAGUUAAAGGAACAGAGAGACUGUGUGCUUCCGGAACAAUGGUGGUUGCCAUGGUAAUGCUGUUUCUGGGUGGAUAAAGCUGGCUGGCGGGUGCUCAUCAAUGCCCACUUGGAGGAAUGUAUUUACUGGCACAGGCAGAGAGGUCUGCACAGGUUGCAGUCCCCACCACAAACAUAGCCACUACAUCGAGAGAGGACACAUCCCAGUGAGAACAUGCUGCUCUGAGCCUUCAACCCAGCUGUGUUCAUCCAGAGGCAGUGACUCCUAAGCAAGAAGCUCUUACACCAGCGUUGUCUGGGACCAAGAUGCACCCCGAAGAAGUGAGUCAGAGCCUCUGUGUGUCUCACACAGUUUAUUCACAACCGGUAGCGGGGGAGGAGGAAGAAAGCAAGCAAGGAGAAACCCAAGGACACUUGAGUGUUAAAAUCAUCCCACUCAAUCCUUUCUUACCCUCUUAUUCAUUUUCUUCCUAUUAAAUGUAAAGAUAAUGAAGAAAAUUCUUUCCAGAAACAGAAGCUACAGUAUAUGAUACGUCAGUUUGGCAACUGGCCCUAUAGAUUUUGUGAAAGUCAUU
This 1095-nucleotide long non-coding RNA is filed under the name Heterocephalus glaber (naked mole-rat). RNAcentral describes it as "lncRNA (ENSHGLG00100039467.1)". The record is from RNAcentral. Lineage: Eukaryota; Metazoa; Chordata; Mammalia; Rodentia; Bathyergidae.